GGUGGCUCAGUGGUAGAGUACUUGCCUCACAUGCAUGAGGUCCUGGGUUCGGUUCCUCAGCACCA
This 65-nucleotide transfer RNA is filed under the name Dipodomys ordii (Ord's kangaroo rat). It matches the Rfam family "tRNA". Rfam says of the family: Transfer RNA (tRNA) molecules are approximately 80 nucleotides in length. Their secondary structure includes four short double-helical elements and three loops (D, anti-codon, and T loops). Lineage: Eukaryota; Metazoa; Chordata; Mammalia; Rodentia; Heteromyidae. The record is from Rfam by way of RNAcentral.